RNAcentral lists this ribosomal RNA (380 nucleotides) under uncultured eukaryote. RNAcentral describes it as "partial 18S ribosomal RNA". It matches the Rfam family "Eukaryotic small subunit ribosomal RNA", at positions 592 to 976 of the family's 1831-position model. The record is from RNAcentral.
CAAUAGCGUAUAUUAAAGUUGUUGCGGUUAAAAAGCUCGUAGUUGGAUUUCUGCCGAGGACGACCGGUCCGCCCUCUGGGUGAGUAUCUGGCUCGGCCUGGGCAUCUUCUUGGAGAACGUAGCUGCACUUGACUGUGUGGUGCGGUAUCCAGGACUUUUACUUUGAGGAAAUUAGAGUGUUUCAAGCAGGCUUACGCCUUGAAUACAUUAGCAUGGAAUAAUAAGAUAGGACCUCGGUUCUAUUUUGUUGGUUUCUAGAGCUGAGGUAAUGAUUAAUAGGGAUAGUUGGGGGCAUUCGUAUUUAACUGUCGGAGGUGAAAUUCUUGGAUUUGUUAAAGACGGACUACUGCGAAAGCAUUUGCCAAGGAUGUUUNCAUUGA